This 489-nucleotide ribosomal RNA is filed under the name uncultured bacterium. Its description in RNAcentral is "partial 16S ribosomal RNA". It matches the Rfam family "Bacterial small subunit ribosomal RNA", at positions 29 to 507 of the family's 1533-position model. The record is from RNAcentral.
AGUGAACGCUGGCGGUAGGCCUAACACAUGCAAGUCGAACGGCAGCACAGUAAGAGCUUGCUCUUACGGGUGGCGAGUGGCGGACGGGUGAGGAAUACAUCGGAAUCUACUUUUUCGUGGGGGAUAACGUAGGGAAACUUACGCUAAUACCGCAUACGACCUACGGGUGAAAGCAGGGGAUCUUCGGACCUUGCGCGAUUGAAUGAGCCGAUGUCGGAUUAGCUAGUUGGCGGGGUAAAGGCCCAAGGCGACGAUCCGUAGCUGGUCUGAGAGGAUGAUCAGCCACACUGGAACUGAGACACGGUCCAGACUCCUACGGGAGGCAGCAGUGGGGAAUAUUGGACAAUGGGCGCAAGCCUGAUCCAGCCAUACCGCGUGGGUGAAGAAGGCCUUCGGGUUGUAAAGCCCUUUUGUUGGGAAAGAAAAGCAGCAGGUUAAUACCCCGCUGUUCUGACGGUACCCAAAGAAUAAGCACCGGCUAACUUCGUG